GAAUGCGGGAGAUAUGUCUAUGAAUAAUUGCUAAAGUUGUCAAAAUCAGAGAGCUUAAUAAGACCCUGUUAUCAGAAGAUAAAUUUGGGAAAAGAAGCACAAGGAUUUAAACUCACUCCCAUCAUAAGAUAGUAGGGUAGGGUACGGUAGGGUACGGUAGGGUAGGGUAGGGUAGGGUAGGGAAGGGUAGGGAAGGGUAAAGGGAAGGGAAGGGAAGGGAAGGGAAGGGAAGGGAAGGGAAGGGAUUUCCUGUCAUUUUUGUUGUUGGUGGUUUUGUUGCUGUUGGCUGUCCUGAAAAAAAAAAAAAAUCAGUAUUUUAUUUAUUUAUUUAUGUAUUUAUUAGUUACUUAAUGUACACUUUCAGAGAAGGAAAACCAGGCAGAGAUCAUCUUGGUGAAGCAUAUCAGGGGCAGGUGUACAUAUAUUAA
RNAcentral lists this long non-coding RNA (428 nucleotides) under Anser brachyrhynchus (Pink-footed goose). Its description in RNAcentral is "lncRNA (ENSABRG00000016424.1)". The record is from RNAcentral. Lineage: Eukaryota; Metazoa; Chordata; Aves; Anseriformes; Anatidae.